CAGUGAGUAACGCUCAGCCCUGGAUUCUGCUGCAGGCUUAACGAGCUGCUCUUUUAUUUCCUUGUUCUGUUUCCUUUCCUAACUGUCUAGGGCGAAAGAUUUCCUCAAAAGCUUAAUGAAAGCCGAAUCACAGGACGGCUGUGUUUUAUCGAUACGCCACUGUUCUGGAAGCGCGGGCUGCUGGGAUGUCCGAGCUGUGGGCCUGACUCUUGCUGUGCAUAUGAAUGCCUUUCCUUCCUGAGACCUUCGGGAAGCUCCAGCCCCAGGCCUGUCACCCUGUCCUCUGUAUGCUGCACUGUGCUGGAGUCAGGCUGUGACCCAUCCAGAGUGGGACAGUCCUUCUCCCUGAGAUGCUCCAGUCUCCUAGGUACUCCCUAAGUCUUACACUAACAGCUUUCUACUAGAACCUUCGCUCUGCUCAGGGUCUGAGCUAAGUGCUAUCUUAGGCCCGUCCACUCUCCUCUUCUCAUCUGUGAGCCAUCCAUUCAUCCAAGUCUGACUUAGGUUCAUGGAGCACACACCACUUUGGGGCCCUCUCUUUGCAG
RNAcentral lists this long non-coding RNA (545 nucleotides) under Capra hircus (goat). RNAcentral describes it as "lncRNA (ENSCHIG00000004690.1)". Lineage: Eukaryota; Metazoa; Chordata; Mammalia; Artiodactyla; Bovidae. The record is from RNAcentral.